GAUUUGGAAAAUUCCGCUAAAGAGGGUGAAAGCCCCGUAGACGAAAUGCUAACAACACCUAGGAGGAUCCUGAGUACGGCGGAACACGAGAAAUUCCGUCGGAAUCCGCGGGGACCAUCCCGCAAGGCUAAAUACUCCCUAGUGACCGAUAGUGAACCAGUACCGUGAGGGAAAGGUGAAAAGCACCCCGGAAGGGGAGUGAAAUAGAUCCUGAAACCGUGUGCCUACAACAAGUCAAAGCUCGUUAAUGAGUGAUGGCGUGCCUUUUGUAGAAUGAACCGGCGAGUUACGAUUGCAUGCGAGGUUAAGUCGAAGAGACGGAGCCGCAGCGAAAGCGAGUCUGAAUAGGGCGAAUGAGUAUGUAGUCGUAGACCCGAAACCAUGUGAUCUACCCAUGUCCAGGUUGAAGGUGCGGUAAAACGCACUGGAGGACCGAACCCACGUACGUUGAAAAGUGCGGGGAUGAGGUGUGGGUAGCGGAGAAAUUCCAAACGAACUUGGAGAUAGCUGGUUCUCUCCGAAAUAGCUUUAGGGCUAGCCUCGGAAUUGAGAAUGAUGGAGGUAGAGCACUGUUUGGACUAGGGGCCCAUCUCGGGUUACCGAAUUCAGAUAAACUCCGAAUGCCAUUCAUUUAUAUCCGGGAGUCAGACUGCGAGUGAUAAGAUCCGUAGUCGAAAGGGAAACAGCCCAGACCACCAGCUAAGGUCCCAAAAUAUAUGUUAAGUGGAAAAGGAUGUGGGGUUGCACAGACAACUAGGAUGUUGGCUUAGAAGCAGCCACCAUUUAAAGAGUGCGUAAUAGCU
Molecule: ribosomal RNA, 803 nt
Filed under: Enterococcus faecalis
Lineage: Bacteria; Bacillati; Bacillota; Bacilli; Lactobacillales; Enterococcaceae
Description: partial 23S ribosomal RNA
Rfam family: Bacterial large subunit ribosomal RNA
Source: RNAcentral